AUGAUUCCCUGUAUGAUCCAAUCCUGUGUUGUAAUAGAAUUUCACUUUUCUCUGAAUCUAUUUCCUAUGUUUGGCAUGUUCCAUUCAUAUAUUACUAUGUCACCUAGCACUGUAAUAGAAUUUCACUUUUCUCUUAAUCUAUUUCCUAUGUUUGGCAUGUUCCAUUCAUAUAUUACUAUGUCACCUAGCCUUGGUUCACGUGGCCGCCGAAACAAACACAAAUUUACAGAGCAUGAAAUUAAUCCAAGCAGCCACUGUAAAUUCUCUCGGAAUUUACUCCCUCUAUUGAUCUAUGUAGGGGUAGGGCACGCAAGCUUUCCAAGAUCCACGCUUUGA
RNAcentral lists this ribosomal RNA (336 nucleotides) under Triticum aestivum (bread wheat). RNAcentral describes it as "partial small subunit ribosomal RNA". Lineage: Eukaryota; Viridiplantae; Streptophyta; Magnoliopsida; Poales; Poaceae. The record is from RNAcentral.